GCCGCGUGUGUGAAGAAGGCCUUCGGGUUGUAAAGCACUUUUGUCCGGAAAGAAAUCCUUGGCUCUAAUACAGCCGGGGGAUGACGGUACCGGAAGAAUAAGCACCGGCUAACUACGUGCCAGCAGCCGCGGUAAUACGUAGGGUGCGAGCGUUAAUCGGAAUUACUGGGCGUAAAGCGUGCGCAGGCGGUUUGCUAAGACCGAUGUGAAAUCCCCGGGCUCAACCUGGGAACUGCAUUGGUGACUGGCAGGCUAGAGUAUGGCAGAGGGGGGUAGAAUUCCACGUGUAGCAGUGAAAUGCGUAGAGAUGUGGAGGAAUACCGAUGGCGAAGGCAGCCCCCUGGGCCAAUACUGACGCUCAUGCACGAAAGCGUGGGGAGCAAACAGGAUUAGAUACCCUGGUAGUCCACGCCCUAAACGAUGUCAACUAGUUGUUGGGGAUUCAUUUCCUUAGUAACGUAGCUAACGCGUGAAGUUGACCGCCUGGGGAGUACGGUCGCAAGAUUAAAACUCAAAUGAAUUGACGG
Molecule: ribosomal RNA, 527 nt
Filed under: Burkholderia sp. N16
Lineage: Bacteria; Pseudomonadati; Pseudomonadota; Betaproteobacteria; Burkholderiales; Burkholderiaceae
Description: bacterial SSU rRNA
Rfam family: Bacterial small subunit ribosomal RNA
Source: RNAcentral